CUCCUGGAAAGGGUGGUAAUGCCGGAUGCUCCGACUCCUCGCAUGGGGUGUCGGGAAAGAUUUCAUCGGUAUGGGAUGGGGUCGCGUCCUAUCAGGUAGUCGGCGGGGUAACGGCCCACCGAGCCUACGACGGGUAGCCGGCCUGAGAGGGCGACCGGCCACAUUGGGACUGAGAUACGGCCCAGACUCCUACGGGAGGCAGCAGUGGGGAAUAUUGCACAAUGGGCGCAAGCCUGAUGCAGCGACGCCGCGUGCGGGAUGACGGCCUUCGGGUUGUAAACCGCUUUUGAUCGGGAGCAAGCCUUCGGGUGAGUGUACCUUUCGAAUAAGCACCGGCUAACUACGUGCCAGCAGCCGCGGUAAUACGUAGGGUGCAAGCGUUAUCCGGAAUUAUUGGGCGUAAAGGGCUCGUAGGCGGUUCGUCGCGUCCGGUGUGAAAGUCCAUCGCUUAACGGUGGAUCUGCGCCGGGUACGGGCGGGCUGGAGUGCGGUAGGGGAGACUGGAAUUCCCGGUGUAACGGUGGAAUGUGUAGAUAUCG
This 539-nucleotide ribosomal RNA is filed under the name Bifidobacterium pseudocatenulatum. Its description in RNAcentral is "bacterial SSU rRNA". It matches the Rfam family "Bacterial small subunit ribosomal RNA", at positions 148 to 699 of the family's 1533-position model. The record is from RNAcentral. Lineage: Bacteria; Bacillati; Actinomycetota; Actinomycetes; Bifidobacteriales; Bifidobacteriaceae.